This 119-nucleotide ribosomal RNA is filed under the name Diaphorina citri (Asian citrus psyllid). Lineage: Eukaryota; Metazoa; Arthropoda; Insecta; Hemiptera; Psyllidae. The record is from RNAcentral.
GGCCGCGAAGAUAGCACUUUGGAUGCACCAGUUCCUCAUGGAUCACUGAAGUUAAGCAACGUUGCGCGUGGUUAGUAUCCAGAUGAGUGACCAUAUGGGCGUUCGAAUGCUGGCUUUUC